Molecule: long non-coding RNA, 2666 nt
Filed under: Homo sapiens (human)
Lineage: Eukaryota; Metazoa; Chordata; Mammalia; Primates; Hominidae
Description: non-protein coding lnc-PRND-3:2
Source: RNAcentral
GCUCAGCUGGUAGUUUGACCUCCGUUGGUGCAAUGCCAGAGAUGGGAUUGUCAGCCACCACACUGCCACCACCCUGCACACAGUCUGGGUCCCUCCGAGAGAAGCACGCCAACCUUAACAUCCCCUACAGCAUCUUGGUGCUUCACACACCAUUUAGGAGGCCACCCUAACGAGGCAAGAGGACAUGGGGGUGUGCAGAAGUUCUGUUCUUAGUGAGAAUGGCUGGCCUGAGAAUCCAGCUCACCUCCUCUGCCCACAGUCUGGACUGCUUGUGGGAAGGCCAUCUCCUCCUGUCUGGUGGUACCUCCACUCUGGGCAGGGAGGGCCUGUCUGUGACUCGCUCUGGACCCCACUUCCCGCUCUGGCCAAGGGCUGUCUUCUGUGCACAUAGCUCAGGAGCCUGCAGCAGUUCCCUGUAUGGGUGGAUGUCCUCAGGGGCCAAGAAGAGAAGAAUGGGGACAACAGAAACCUGCUUUGUAGGGGAUUAUGUAGACUAAAAGCCUAGAAGUUCUGCCCACAUCCUUAUGACGCAGCCAAUCUGGAGCUUCAUGUUUCCUUCUAAAAGUAGUAACCGGGUAGAAGUGGGUGACCCAUUGAGGACACAUGAUGUGAGGUAUUUCUGCCGGAUUCUAGGUUAGCAAAGACUCAAAUGGGUGACUCAUGAAUGAAGGGAGAACAGGCACAGGACUUAAUGAAAAGAGUUUCUUGAACUUAGUUUUCUGAAUGGGGGUGGGGAGUUGGGGCACGUGUGUGUAAGGGGAGGCUGCCUCACUUUGAAGGAAUGGUGUUGGCUAACAGGAUCCAUGAAAUUCCUAGGUCAGUUGAAUAAUAACUGAACUACUGGUUUGACUGUGGAUUAUUUCCUGGGUAUUAGUGGGACCCAACAGCACAUUGCUAUUAAUAGUAUGGAAAUAAUGGUCCCUCUGUUUCAUUGAAUUGCUGAAGUAAUGAUAAUGCCAUGAACCAGGAGAAGAUGGUUGUGGGGGUUUCUAGGAAGCAGCUGCUGUGACAGGCCAAUCCCAGGCUUGCCCCCGAGCCCUCCUGUCCUUCUGGGUUUGUGUUUGCCUUGCCUGGUGCUUCCUCCCUCAUUGUGUUGUUGAAUAGACCUAGGCAGCCUUGUAUCCAUAGAAAGCCUCCACUGCUGGGCCGGGGAGGGGGUUGUGGUAAGGGCCCUCUGGAAAUCAAGCAGAGAAUGCCUUUGCAGUGGUCUCCCGGGCAUUGGGCAGGGCCUAGCCUUUUGCAGCCCCCAGAGGACCUUGCCUGCAUAAAGCACUCAGAAGGGUUAGCCACCUGGUGAUUUUGUCUCUAGUGAAACUGUGUUUGCCGAUAAUCAUCCACAUAGCCACCUCUGUCCUCGCAGUUUGGAUGCCUUUUUUUGACACCUGCGCUAGGUUCUUGUAUGCUGGCUUUUCUUAAAGGAACAGCAGAGUAGAAAAGAGGUUGAGAAUGUUUUCUAGCAGGCAGAAUGUGCAUACAUGUUUUCAUGAGUGUCCUUUGGGUGCUGUUUCUUUUAAAUCCUCUGUGCACAGGGCUCUGGCCUUUAGUAAACUGUUUUUCUGUCUUACGUCAUGCUGACUGGGUGCUAGGGGCUGAUUACAAAGGGGAAGAGUUGAACAGACAUCAGGGGCCGAUGAAACCAAAGGACUAGGAGUCAGGAGAACAAGUCAGGGAUUAGGAGACAGCGGUUUGGUUUAUUGUUAUCCAGCUGGAGGACUCCUAGGGGCAGCAGCAGGAGGAAUACCAGGGCCACGGAGGGGCCAGGAGUCUCACAGUGGAGGGCAGACUCUAACAGAUGCCAGCUGAACGCUCGCUGGCCCUGGAUGUCAUACGAGUUGGGGACCAGAAAUCUGGGCUCAGAGAACCCGUCCAGGGAGAUUUGAAGCCAUGGGUUAUCUUCUAGAGUUGAUACUGAUAAUAUAUUUUAAUUUUUAUUGAUGUUUAAUACCUUCUGAAACAGGAGGGUAAGAUCAGAUGGGAAGCCCCUCUGUUGAAGGAUCUUGGGAACCUUGGUGGUUUUUUUUUUUUUUUUGGUUUUUUUUUUUUGAUCGAGCUGUGGACAUCCUUCUUAAUUCGAUUCUGAGGAUUUGUUUAACUAAAAAGUUCCCAAACACAGAAAGGGCCUCCCCACCUGCUUUGGGGAGCUGUCUGUGCUGGGAGUGCCAGGCAUCCCAUGGGACCCAUCACUGCCAGUGUCUGUGCCUCCCAGAGGUCAGCCGUGUCUGCCCUGGCUCUGUCUCCUCUGUGACAGGGCAGAGCAUUUCUGGUCAGUUUCUCCAUGGUGCCUCCCACCCCUUUGUAAAGUGGAUGGACAUGAUGGAAUUCAGUUGUCUCACCCUGAUAGCCUGGGUGUUGAUAUUCACUUUACCCGCACUCAGACACAGGCGACCUUGAAGCAGUUCUCGGUGUGUAGAGUCCACGUGACAGUCCCCACAGCCUCCCCAGAUAGCUGUGUGCCUGUGCGCUACUGCUGUGCCAUUUUCCCAACUUGGCGUUUCACUAAAUGCAGCUGAUCUCUCUCUCUGUGCACUCGUGAUCCAUGUUGAACAAUACAUGUAGGUUCUUUUUCCACGCAAUGUAAGAACAUGAUAUACUGUACGUUGGAAAGCAUUUACCUUAUUUAUAUACCUGAAUGUUCCUACUACACAAAUAAACAUAUAUUAAAUUCU